Molecule: ribosomal RNA, 468 nt
Filed under: uncultured bacterium
Lineage: Bacteria
Description: partial 16S ribosomal RNA
Rfam family: Bacterial small subunit ribosomal RNA
Source: RNAcentral
GACGAACGCUGGCGGCGUGCUUAACACAUGCAAGUCGAACGGAAAGGCCCUGCUUUUGUGGGGUGCUCGAGUGGCGAACGGGUGAGUAACACGUGAGUAACCUGCCCUUGACUUUGGGAUAACUUCAGGAAACUGGGGCUAAUACCGGAUAGGAGCUCCUGCUGCAUGGUGGGGGUUGGAAAGUUUCGGCGGUUGGGGAUGGACUCGCGGCUUAUCAGCUUGUUGGUGGGGUAGUAGCUUACCUAGGCUUUGACGGGUAGCCGGCCUGAGAGGGUGACCGGCCACAUUGGGACUGAGAUACGGCCCAGACUCCUACGGGAGGCAGCAGUGGGGAAUAUUGCACAAUGGGCGGAAGCCUGAUGCAGCAACGCCGCGUGCGGGAUGACGGCCUUCGGGUUGUAAACCGCUUUCGCCUGUGACGAAGCGUGAGUGACGGUAAUGGGUAAAGAAGCACCGGCUAACUACGUG